GACGAACGCUGGCGGCGUGCUUAACACAUGCAAGUCGAACGGAAAGGCCCCCAUCUUGGUGGGGGUGCUCGAGUGGCGAACGGGUGAGUAACACGUGGGUGAUCUGCCCUGUACUUCGGGAUAAGCUUGGGAAACUGGGUCUAAUACCGGAUAGGACCAUGGUUUAGUGUCUCAUGGUGGAAAGAUUAUUGUUUUGGUGCAGGAUGAGCUCGCGGCCUAUCAGCUUGUUGGUGGGGUAAUGGCCUACCAAGGCGUCGACGGGUAGCCGGCCUGAGAGGGUGGACGGCCACAUUGGGACUGAGAUACGGCCCAGACUCCUACGGGAGGCAGCAGUGGGGAAUAUUGCGCAAUGGGCGCAAGCCUGAUGCAGCGACGCCGCGUGGGGGAUGACGGCCUUCGGGUUGUAAACUCCUUUCGUUAGAGACGAAGCCGCACUUUUUUGGGGUGUGGUGACGGUACCUUUGUUAAGAAGCACCGGCUAACUACGUG
This 489-nucleotide ribosomal RNA is filed under the name uncultured bacterium. RNAcentral describes it as "partial 16S ribosomal RNA". It matches the Rfam family "Bacterial small subunit ribosomal RNA", at positions 28 to 507 of the family's 1533-position model. The record is from RNAcentral.